Molecule: ribosomal RNA, 415 nt
Filed under: uncultured bacterium
Lineage: Bacteria
Description: bacterial SSU rRNA
Rfam family: Bacterial small subunit ribosomal RNA
Source: RNAcentral
CAAGUCGAGCGCCGUAGCAAUACGGAGCGGCAGACGGGAGAGUAACACGUGGGAACGUGCCCUUCAGUUCGGAACAACCCAGGGAAACUUGGGCUAAUACCGGAUACGUCCGUAAGGAGAAAGAUUAAUCGCUGAAGGAUCGGCCCGCGUCUGAUUAGCUUGUUGGUGAGGUAACGGCUCACCAAGGCGACGAUCAGUAGCUGGUCUGAGAGGAUGAUCAGCCUCACUGGGGACUGAGACACGGGCCAGACUCCUACGGNAGGCAGCAGUGGGGGAAUAUGGNACCAUGGGGCGCCAGCCUGAAUCAACCAUGCCGCGUUGGGUGAUGAAAGGCCCUAUGGGUUGUUAAGGCCCUUUCCGGCGGGGGAAAUAUAAGACCGUUACCCGCAGAGAAAGCCCCGGGUUAACUUCGUGG